RNAcentral lists this ribosomal RNA (278 nucleotides) under uncultured Thalassovita sp. RNAcentral describes it as "uncultured Thalassobius sp. partial 16S ribosomal RNA". It matches the Rfam family "Bacterial small subunit ribosomal RNA", at positions 29 to 334 of the family's 1533-position model. The record is from RNAcentral. Lineage: Bacteria; Pseudomonadati; Pseudomonadota; Alphaproteobacteria; Rhodobacterales; Roseobacteraceae.
AACGAACGCUGGCGGCAGGCCUAACACAUGCAAGUCGAGCGCUCACUUCGGUGGGAGCGGCGGACGGGCUAGUAACGCGUGGGAAUAUACCCAGUUCUAAGGAAUAGCCAUCGGAAACGAUGAGUAAUACCUUAUACGCCCUUCGGGGGAAAGAUUUAUCGGAAUUGGAUUAGCCCGCGUUAGAUUAGAUAGUUGGUGGGGUAACGGCCUACCAAGUCGACGAUCUAUAGCUGGUUUUAGAGGAUGAUCAGCAACACUGGGACUGAGACACGGCCCAG